RNAcentral lists this ribosomal RNA (505 nucleotides) under uncultured bacterium. RNAcentral's name for it is "partial 16S ribosomal RNA". It matches the Rfam family "Bacterial small subunit ribosomal RNA", at positions 28 to 507 of the family's 1533-position model. The record is from RNAcentral.
GACGAACGCUGGCGGCGUGCCUAAUACAUGCAAGUCGAACGCACAGUUUAUACCGUAGCUUGCUCCACCAUAGACGGUGAGUUGCGAACGGGUGAUUAACGCGUAAGUAACCUGCCUGGUAGCAGGGGGUAACUAUUGGAAACGAUAGCUAAUACAGCAUAAUAUUAAUUAUUGCAUGGUAAUUAAUGGAACGGUGCAAUUGCACCACUACAAGGUGGCCCUGCGGUGUAUUAGCUAGUAGGUGAGGUAACGGCUCACCUAGGGGAAGAUACAUAGCCGACCCUAGAGGGGGGACGGCCAACCCGGGAAUGGGACACGGCCCAGACUCCUUCGGGAGGCAGCAGUAGGGAAACUUCGGGAAUGGACGAAAGGCUGACCGAGCAACGCCGCGGGAGGGAAGAAGGGUCUCGGAUUGGAAAGCUCUGUUGUAAGGGAAGAACGGGUGUGAGAGUGGAAAGUUCACACUGUGACGGUAUCUUACCAGAAAGGGACGGCUAACUACGUG